Motacilla alba alba is the source of this 476-nucleotide long non-coding RNA. RefSeq lists it as uncharacterized. The transcript is spliced from 3 exons. The record is from RefSeq and is a predicted model, not a curated record. NCBI's taxonomy places the organism in Eukaryota, Metazoa, Chordata, Aves, Passeriformes, Motacillidae.
CGGCGGCAGGGCCCGCUCGCGGCGCCGGACCGCGGCUUACGCUGCGCCGUUUGCGCAGCGCCCCGAGCGCCCCGCGGCGGAGCGAGCGUAGCGCGCUUGAAUAUUCGGGGUUGGAAGGGGCCUCUGGAAACCACGCAGUGCAACCAGGGUCACCCGAAGCAGCAAAUACAACUGCUGUUCGUGACAAACACAUGAUUUACAAAAUGAAGAAUAAAGAAUUGUGUCAGCUAGAGAGAGAGAGAGAGAAGGAAGAUGAAACAAGUACAGGAAUACACAGGAGGGAAACAGAAGCAGCAAGAACAUUGCGUUCAUCAGCCACAGACACAAAUUAGCUUGGGAAAGAGAUCUGGAAAUUAUAUUAACUACUGCUGUGAAAGCAUCAGGUAAGUGUUCAGUCAUGUGAGCAAAUGAAGCUUUAAAAACAUGAGAGAAGGAGCAGAGAACAAAACUGUGAGAAACUGCACUUAUUUAUAAUU